This 60-nucleotide transfer RNA is filed under the name Plasmodium gonderi. RNAcentral's name for it is "tRNA-Ser". It matches the Rfam family "tRNA", at positions 1 to 49 of the family's 71-position model. Rfam says of the family: Transfer RNA (tRNA) molecules are approximately 80 nucleotides in length. Their secondary structure includes four short double-helical elements and three loops (D, anti-codon, and T loops). Lineage: Eukaryota; Apicomplexa; Aconoidasida; Haemosporida; Plasmodiidae. The record is from RNAcentral.
GACAGUUUGCCCGAGUGGUUAAGGGGUUGGACUUGAAAUCCAAUGAGCUUUGCUUGCGCA